This 425-nucleotide ribosomal RNA is filed under the name uncultured bacterium. RNAcentral's name for it is "partial 16S ribosomal RNA". It matches the Rfam family "Bacterial small subunit ribosomal RNA", at positions 354 to 796 of the family's 1533-position model. The record is from RNAcentral.
GUUAGGAAUAUUGGACAAUGGGCGCAAGCCUGAUCCAGCCAUGCCGCGUGAGUGAUGAAGGCCUUCGGGUUGUAAAGCUCUUUAGCCGAUGAUUAUAAUGACUGUAGUCGGAAAAUAAGCCCCGGCUAACUUCGUGCCAGCAGCCGCGGUAAUACGAAGGGGGCGAGCGUUAUUCGGAAUCACUGGGCGUAAAGCGUGCGUAGGCGGCUUUGCAAGUUGGGAGUGAAAGCCCAGGGCUCAACCCUGGAAUUGCUCUCAAAACUGCAAGGCUGGAAUUCGGGAGAGGAUAGCGGAAUUGUCAGUGUAGCAGUGAAAUGCGUAGAUAUUGACAGGAACACCAGUGGCGUAAGCGGCUAUCUGGACCGAUAUUGACGCUGAGGCACGAAAGCGUGGGGAUCAAACAGGAUUAGAAACCCCGGUAGUCC